This 494-nucleotide ribosomal RNA is filed under the name uncultured bacterium. RNAcentral's name for it is "partial 16S ribosomal RNA". It matches the Rfam family "Bacterial small subunit ribosomal RNA", at positions 28 to 507 of the family's 1533-position model. The record is from RNAcentral.
GACGAACGCUGGCGGCGUGCUUAACACAUGCAAGUCGAACGGUGAAGCGCCUUCCUUUUUGGUGGGUGUGGAUGAGUGGCGAACGGGUGAGUAACACGUGAGUAACCUGCCCCCUUCUUCUGGAUAACCGCAUGAAAGUGUGGCUAAUACGGGAUAUUCUGGGUCUGUCGCAUGAUGGGUCUGGGAAAGAUAUUGUUUCGGUGGGGGAUGGGCUCGCGGCCUAUCAGCUUGUUGGUGGGGUGAUGGCCUACCAAGGCGGUGACGGGUAGCCGGCCUGAGAGGGUGGACGGUCACACUGGGACUGAGACACAGCCCAGACUCCUACGGGAGGAAGCAGUGGGGAAUAUUGCACAAUGGGCGCAAGCCUGAUGCAGCGACGCCGCGUGAGGGAUGGAGGCCUUCGGGUUGUGAACCUCUUUCGCCAGUGAAGCAGGCCUGCCUCGUUUGUGGGUGGGUUGACGGUAGCUGGAUAAGAAGCGCCGGCUAACUACGUG